UGGCUCAGUGGUUGAGCAUCUGUCUGUGAACCAGGAGGUCAGGGUUUGAUUCCCGG
This 56-nucleotide transfer RNA is filed under the name Myotis davidii. It matches the Rfam family "tRNA", at positions 8 to 63 of the family's 71-position model. Rfam says of the family: Transfer RNA (tRNA) molecules are approximately 80 nucleotides in length. The record is from Rfam by way of RNAcentral. Lineage: Eukaryota; Metazoa; Chordata; Mammalia; Chiroptera; Vespertilionidae.